UGGAGCAGAACAGAAUAAGGAGACUAGGA
RNAcentral lists this non-coding RNA (29 nucleotides) under Rattus norvegicus (Norway rat). Lineage: Eukaryota; Metazoa; Chordata; Mammalia; Rodentia; Muridae. The record is from RNAcentral.